GGCUUAAUACAUGCAAGUCGAGGGGGCAGCAAUGUCACCGGCGAACGGGUGCGUAACGCGUAUGCAACCUACCUACAUCAGGGGGAUAGCCCUAGGAAACUGGGAUUAACACCGCAUAACAAUAGAGUUGGCAUCAACUUUAUUUGAAAUAUUUAUAGGAUGUAGAUGGGCAUGCGUAGGAUUAGCUAGUUGGUAAGGUAACGGCUUACCAAGGCUACGAUCCUUAGGGGCUCUGAGAGGAGUAUCCCCCACACUGGCACUGAGAUACGGGCCAGACUCCUACGGGAGGCAGCAGUAGGGAAUAUUGGGCAAUGGAGGCAACUCUGACCCAGCCAUGCCGCGUGCAGGAAGACGGUCCUCUGGAUUGUGUUCUGC
Molecule: ribosomal RNA, 375 nt
Filed under: uncultured organism
Description: bacterial SSU rRNA
Rfam family: Bacterial small subunit ribosomal RNA
Source: RNAcentral